Molecule: long non-coding RNA, 639 nt
Filed under: Capra hircus (goat)
Lineage: Eukaryota; Metazoa; Chordata; Mammalia; Artiodactyla; Bovidae
Description: lncRNA (ENSCHIG00010013852.1)
Source: RNAcentral
CUGCUCUUGGCUUGGGGCAGCCAUCCCGGAGCUUUGAGUCCCGCCGCCACGCAAGGCAGGGCAGGUCUGUCUUCAAGAAAAACAAACCAGACUUACCUCAGAGACGGCGAAAAGCUUUGCGGAACAGCUGACAGCCCCCCUGGCAGGAGAAGGGAGGACACCAGCAGCAAGACGCUCCCCAAGCCUGCGGGACGCAUGCUGAGUUUCCAGGCUGCAGAAGCAAGGAGCGUGGCUGCGAGGGCAGCAUGUAAUGAUGAAUAUUACCAUGAGGACCAUGUGCAGCUGUGAAGCAAAGAUGUUUGCAGAAAACACAAGGACAAGCACCACUUGAGAGCAGAGGUAGGAAGCACCCAGUUGCUGUGUGGAAGGUUCUGAGCUUCUCACUGACCCCAAAGACCCCCUGACAGCUCUGAGAGAAAGGCCUAGUCUCUCUAGUGCCUGAAACCAAACUUAAAGGGACUGAAAAGCAUCUUAGUCCUUAAACAUAGUUCUGAGUCAUCAGGUCACAAAAUCAUAGAAUCUGGGGUUCAAGAAAUAUUUUAUAAACACUGAAGCUGAAGCUCCAAUAAUUUGGCCCCCUGAGGUGAAGAGCUGACCCAUUGGAAAAGACUCUGUUGCUGGGAAAGAUUGAGGGUGGGA